RNAcentral lists this long non-coding RNA (208 nucleotides) under Manihot esculenta (cassava). Its description in RNAcentral is "long non-coding RNA (MESC_LNC011917)". Lineage: Eukaryota; Viridiplantae; Streptophyta; Magnoliopsida; Malpighiales; Euphorbiaceae. The record is from RNAcentral.
CCCAACUCGGAUAGACUCGCCACAUAAAAACGCUCGAAAACAUAGAGGAAGGCAAAUGAAGACGGAGGACCGUGCUCAUAACCAAGAAGAAAGGAAAAGUCAUUUAAAAUAAGCCCACACAAGCAUAUACAGAGUUUAAGGAUUUACCCCCUCACCACCCAUAUAAUGAAAGGUUGAGGAGGUAAAGGGGGCAAUUUGGGAAGAAAGG